GUGAGGACUCAGGAAACUUACAAUCGUGGCAAAAGAGAAAGCAAAUGCAUCCUUCUUCACAUGGCAGCAGGAAGGAGAAGAAUGAAAGUCAAGUGAAAGGGGAAACCCAUUAUAAAACCAUGAGAUCUUGUGAGAUCCUGCUCACUAUCACAAGAAUACCACGGGGGAAGUCACCUCCAUGAUUCAAUUACAUCCCACUGGGUCCCUCCCACCACAUGUGGGGAUUAUGGAAACUACAAAUCAAGUUGUGAAAGGUGGCAUCUGCAUUUUUCUCAAACUAGAGAAAAAAUAGUCAAUAUUUCACAAUUAAAAAUGACAUUAUUUGUAGAAUUUGUCAUAGUUGCUUUUUACUUGAUUGAAGAAAUACCAUCCUAAUUGUAAUUAACUUAUAAAUUUUGUCAUGAAUGGAUGAUUACUGAGUUGAGUUGAUUAUAUGGUUUACUCCUUCAUACAGCUCAUGUGUUAAAUACUCUAACUGGUCUUGAAAUGUUAACUAGCUUUAAAUUCCUGAGAUAUAUUACUGAAUUAAAUUUAAAGUGCCUGUAUUUAUGAGAAAUAUCAGUUUAUAAUUUAUCUUUUUUUCAAUGUCUUUGUGAGGUUGUUACAUCAGAGAAACACUGAUCUUAUAAAACAAAUUAGUGUUUCCACAUCAUUUUUAUUUGUGAUUUGUAGGUACAUUUCAAAAUAACUAACAUUCUCUAAAUGGUAUAUUACCCAAAAAUGGAAAAAACUUCUCCAUUAAUUUAGGUGUUAUAUGUUUUAAUAAAUCUUAAUUGCACUUCUUAGAAAGUCCAGCACUCUUUUUGUUAAAUUUAGGUUUAUUUACUUAUAUUGUCUAAUGUUGUUUUAAAUGAGAUUUUAUUUUAAAUAAUUUUUGGUUGGUGGUUGCUGAUAUAAAGAUAUGCAUUUGAACUUUCUAUAUUAUCCUUAUGUUCUGCUUGCUAGAUAAACUUUACAAUAAUAUGUAAUAAUGUGUCUAAAUAGUUUUCUAAGUAAAUAGUCAUAUAUUUUACAAACAUGGCAGUUUUAUUUCUUUAUUUUAAAUCCCCCUGCAUCAAAUUCUUUUCAUCAUAUUAUUGUGCAUGCCAGGGCUUCCAAAAUAUGUAUUAUUUGAAAUUGUGAAAAUGUGCUUCCUUGUGUUGUGUUUUUUAUUUUAAAUGAAAAUCUCUCUACAUUUACACAUUUAGAAUAAUACAUAUUGCUUUUUAAAAAAUAUAUUAGAUACAGAAACACACUUUCCUAUUUUUUAAUAUACUGAGCAUUUUUAUCACAAAUUUAUGAUAAAAUGUUUCAAAUACAUACUUUGCAUCUGUUUAAAU
RNAcentral lists this long non-coding RNA (1319 nucleotides) under Homo sapiens (human). RNAcentral describes it as "HSALNT0070556". The record is from RNAcentral. Lineage: Eukaryota; Metazoa; Chordata; Mammalia; Primates; Hominidae.